RNAcentral lists this ribosomal RNA (158 nucleotides) under Fusarium phaseoli. Its description in RNAcentral is "5.8S ribosomal RNA". It matches the Rfam family "5.8S ribosomal RNA". From Rfam's summary of the family: 5.8S ribosomal RNA (5.8S rRNA) is a component of the large subunit of the eukaryotic ribosome. The record is from RNAcentral. RNAcentral also lists the same sequence under 1 other name. Lineage: Eukaryota; Fungi; Ascomycota; Sordariomycetes; Hypocreales; Nectriaceae.
AAAACUUUCAACAACGGAUCUCUUGGCUCUGGCAUCGAUGAAGAACGCAGCGAAACGCGAUAAGUAAUGUGAAUUGCAGAAUUUAGUGAAUCAUCGAAUCUUUGAACGCACAUUGCGCCCGCCAGUAUUCUGGCGGGCAUGCCUGUCCGAGCGUCAUU